AAACAGCGUGCACACGCCUCGUGGCUCAGUCGCACUGGGACUUUUGGAGAGGGUGGAAGGGUAGAUUGGUGCAGGCAGGCAGGAAACAUUGCUGCGUCACAGCAUGGCUGUGUGAAGACCAGGAGAGGAGAAAAGGUGGGGUGGUCUGUGGCUGAGUUUGGUGGUGUGGGUCUUAGGUCUUUCUAUUUCUUUUGUUGUUGCAAACUUGCAAAGGGCUGUCCUGUGGGUGUUUUUCCUGUUCAAAAUACAACUCCUUCGGGGAAAAUAAAAGCUUGCCUUUGUGCCUUGCCUUCCCCUGGGCUACGGGUGUGUGUGUGUCUGCCAGGAACGCUUUGGGAAAGAGUUGCAUAUCCCAUCCUGUUCAAAAUACAACUCCUUUUGGGGAAAGAAAAGGUUCCCUUUGUGCCUUGCCUUGUGUGUGUGUCUGCCAGGAACGCUUUGGGAAAGAGUUGCAUAUCCCAUCCUGUUCAAAAUACAACUCCUUUUGGGGAAAGAAAAGGUUCCCUUUGUGCCUUGCCUUGUGUGUGUGUCUGCCAGGAACGCUUUGGGAAAGAGUUGCAUAUCCCAUCCUGUUCAAAAUACAACUCCUUUUGGGGAAAGAAAAGGUUCCCUUUGUGCCUUGCCUUGUGUGUGUGUCUGCCAGGAACGCUUUGGGAAAGAGUUGCAUAUCCCAUCCUGUUCAAAAUACAACUCCUUUCGGGGAAAAUAAAAGCUUGCCUUUGUGCCUUGCCUGGUGUGUGUGUCUGCCAGGAACGCUUUGGGAAAGAGUUGCAUAUCCCAUCCUGUUCAAAAUACAACUCCUUCGGGGAAAAUAUAAAAGCUUGCCUUUGUGCCUUGCCUUCCCCUGGGCUACGGGUGUGUGUGUGUCUGCCAGGAACGCUUUGGGAAAGAGUUGCAUAUCCCAUCCUGUUCAAAAUACAACUCCUUUUGGGGAAAGAAAAGGUUCCCUUUGUGCCUUGCCUUGUGUGUGUGUCUGCCAGGAACGCUUUGGGAAAGAGUUGCAUAUCCCAUCCUGUUCAAAAUACAACUCCUUUCGGGGAAAAUAAAAGCUUGCCUUUGUGCCUUGCCUGGUGUGUGUGUCUGCCAGGAACGCUUUGGGAAAGAGUUGCA
RNAcentral lists this long non-coding RNA (1110 nucleotides) under Anolis carolinensis (green anole). Its description in RNAcentral is "lncRNA (ENSACAG00000035558.1)". Lineage: Eukaryota; Metazoa; Chordata; Lepidosauria; Squamata; Anolidae. The record is from RNAcentral.